Molecule: non-coding RNA, 48 nt
Filed under: Schistosoma curassoni
Lineage: Eukaryota; Metazoa; Platyhelminthes; Trematoda; Strigeidida; Schistosomatidae
Source: RNAcentral
AUGCGGCUGAUGAGCCCCAAAUAGGACGAAACGCGCGUCAAACUGGAU